CGGGCCGCUGCAGCAGUGAGGAAUUUUGCGCAAUGGGGGAAACCCUGACGCAGCAACGCCGCGUGAGCGAAGAAGGCCCUCGGGUCGUAAAGCUCUGUCAAGUGGGAAAAAAAAUCUUUUGAUCAAUAGUCAAAAGACUUGAUGGUACCACUGGAGGAAGCACCGGCUAACUCCGUGCCAGCAGCCGCGGUAAUACGGAGGGUGCAAGCGUUGUUCGGAUUUACUGGGCGUAAAGAGCGUGUAGGCGGUUUAGCAAGUCAGAUGUGAAAGCCCUGGGCUCAACCCGGGAAGUGCAUUUGAAACUGCUUCACUAGAGUAUGGGAGAGGAGAUUGGAAUUCCUGGUGUAGAGGUGAAAUUCGUAGAUAUCAGGAGGAACACCCGUGGCGAAGGCGAUUCUCUGGACCAAUACUGACGCUGAGACGCGAAAGCGUGGGGAGCAAACAGGAUUAGAUACCCUCGUAGUC
Molecule: ribosomal RNA, 465 nt
Filed under: uncultured bacterium
Lineage: Bacteria
Description: partial 16S ribosomal RNA
Rfam family: Bacterial small subunit ribosomal RNA
Source: RNAcentral